Molecule: ribosomal RNA, 756 nt
Filed under: uncultured Desulfuromonas sp.
Lineage: Bacteria; Pseudomonadati; Thermodesulfobacteriota; Desulfuromonadia; Desulfuromonadales; Desulfuromonadaceae
Description: bacterial SSU rRNA
Rfam family: Bacterial small subunit ribosomal RNA
Source: RNAcentral
AUAGUUUGAUUAUGGCUCAGAACGAACGCUGGCGGUAUGCUUAACACAUGCAAGUCGAACGUGAAAGCAGACUUCGGUCUGUAAGUAAAGUGGCGCACGGGUGAGUAACACGUGGAUAAUCUACCCGACAAUCAGGGAUAACAUUUCGAAAGGGAUGCUAAUACCUGAUAAGCCCACGACCUCUUCGGAGGCUGUGGGAAAAGGUGGGGACCUUCGGGCCUACCGUUGUCGGAUGAGUCCGCGUCCCAUUAGCUAGUUGGUAGGGUAAUGGCCUACCAAGGCUACGAUGGGUAGCUGGUCUGAGAGGAUGAUCAGCCACACUGGAACUGAGACACGGUCCAGACUCCUACGGGAGGCAGCAGUGGGGAAUUUUGCGCAAUGGGCGGAAGCCUGACGCAGCAAUACCGCGUGAGUGAUGAAGGCUCUUGGGUCGUAAAGCUCUGUCAGAGGGGAAGAACCUCCUGUCGUUUAAUACGCGGCAGGCCUGACGGUACCCUCAAAGGAAGCACCGGCUAACUCCGUGCCAGCAGCCGCGGUAAUACGGAGGGUGCGAGCGUUGUUCGGAAUUAUUGGGCGUAAAGAGCAUGUAGGCGGCUCGUCAAGUCUGAUGUGAAAGCCCUGGGCUCAACCCAGGAAGUGCAUUGGAAACUGGCGAACUUGAGUACGGGAGAGGAAAGUGGAAUUUCGAGUGUAGGGGUGAAAUCCGUAGAUAUUCGAAGGAACACCAGUGGCGAAGGCGGCUUUCUGGACCGAUAC